Molecule: small RNA, 121 nt
Filed under: Marmota monax (woodchuck)
Lineage: Eukaryota; Metazoa; Chordata; Mammalia; Rodentia; Sciuridae
Source: RNAcentral
GCUGGGCAUGGGGGAGCACACCUGUAAUCCCAGCUGCUUGGGAGGCUGAGGCAGGAGAAUCACAAGUUCAAAGCCAACCUCUUAGCUAGGCCCUAAGCAACUUAGUGAGACCCUGUCUCCA